AUGCACAAUGAGAUUCACCCUGUAUUGACGGUGUUAGUGCUCUAUAUCAAAUCAUUAUGUUUCGGAGUACCUCUUUACUGUAAGAUGUCUAACAAUGCCUUCAUCUUUGCAGAACUUAUUGAAAUCACAGAACUCCAACUUGGAUGUACUCUGACCAGAAAGAAGACCUCUCUUGCUCAACAUUGUCAGGCCUUUCUCACUCAUGUGUCCCAGCCUCAUGUGCCAUAAUCUGGUUUCAUCUGAAUCUGACAUGGAGGAAGAUACAGCAGCUGUGCCUGUAACGGUAGACCCUUGCAACACAUACAAUCUACCAAUCUGA
Molecule: non-coding RNA, 319 nt
Organism: Vicia faba (fava bean)
Lineage: Eukaryota; Viridiplantae; Streptophyta; Magnoliopsida; Fabales; Fabaceae
Source: the annotation of a GenBank genome assembly